RNAcentral lists this ribosomal RNA (497 nucleotides) under uncultured bacterium. Its description in RNAcentral is "partial 16S ribosomal RNA". It matches the Rfam family "Bacterial small subunit ribosomal RNA", at positions 28 to 507 of the family's 1533-position model. The record is from RNAcentral.
GACGAACGCUGGCGGCGUGCCUAAUACAUGCAAGUUGAGCGCUGAAGGUUGGUACUUGUACCAACUGGAUGAGCAGCGAACGGGUGAGUAACGCGUGGGGAAUCUGCCUUUGAGCGGGGGACAACAUUUGGAAACGAAUGCUAAUACCGCAUAAAGACUUUAAACACAAGUUUUAAGCUUGAAAGAUGCAAUUGCAUCACUCAAAGAUGAUCCCGCGUUGUAUUAGCUAGUUGGUGAGGUAAAGGCUCACCAAGGCGAUGAUACAUAGCCGACCUGAGAGGGUGAUCGGCCACAUUGGGACUGAGACACGGCCCAAACUCCUACGGGAGGCAGCAGUAGGGAAUCUUCGGCAAUGGACGAAAGUCUGACCGAGCAACGCCGCGUGAGUGAAGAAGGUUUUCGGAUCGUAAAACUCUGUUGGUAGAGAAGAACGUUGGUGAGAGUGGAAAGCGCAUCAAGUGACGGUAACUACCCAGAAAGGGACGGCUAACUACGUG